This 460-nucleotide ribosomal RNA is filed under the name uncultured bacterium. RNAcentral's name for it is "partial 16S ribosomal RNA". It matches the Rfam family "Bacterial small subunit ribosomal RNA", at positions 338 to 795 of the family's 1533-position model. The record is from RNAcentral.
CCUACGGGGAGCUGCAGUGAGGAAUAUUGGUCAAUGGCCGGAAGGCUGAACCAGCCAUGCCGCGUGAAGGUCAGUGCCCUAUGGGCGUUAAACUUCUUUUGUGCGGGAGCAAUAAUGGUCACGUGUGGCCAGACGAGAGUACCGUACGAAUAAGCAUCGGCUAACGCCGUGCAAGCAGCCGCGGGAAUACGGGGGAUGCAAGCGUUAUCCGGAUUUAUUGGGUUUAAAGGGUGCGUAGGCUGUGAGGUAAGUCAGCGGUGAAAUGCCCCCGCUCAACGGGGUGAAGUGCCAUUGAUACUGCCUUGCUGGAAUGCGGAUGCCGUGGGAGGAAUGUGUGGUGUAGCGGUGAAAUGCAUAGAUAUCACACAGAACACCGAUUGCGAAGGCAUCUCACGAAGCCGCGAUUGACGCUGCUGCACGAAAGCGUGGGUAUCAAACAGGAUUAGAUACCCCGGUAGUC